GAGGAAUAUUGGUCAAUGGGCGAGAGCCUGAACCAGCCAAGUAGCGUGCAGAAUGACGGCCCUCCGGGUUGUAAACUGCUUUUAGUUGGGAAUAAAAAAAGGGACUUGUCCCUUCUUGUAUGUACCUUCAGAAAAAGGACCGGCUAAUUCCGUGCCAGCAGCCGCGGUAAUACGGAAGGUCCAGGCGUUAUCCGGAUUUAUUGGGUUUAAAGGGAGCGUAGGCGGAUUGUUAAGUCAGCGGUUAAAGGGUGUGGCUCAACCAUGCAUUGCCGUUGAAACUGGCGAUCUUGAGUGCAGACAGGGAUGCCGGAAUUCGUGGUGUAGCGGUGAAAUGCUUAGAUAUCACGAAGAACUCCGAUCGCGAAGGCAGGUGUCCGGGCUGCAACUGACGCUGAGGCUCGAAAGUGUGGGUAUCAAACAGGAUUAGAUACCCUGGUAGUCCACACAGUAAACGAUGUAUACUCGCGGUUUGCGAUAGACAGUAAGCCGCCAAGCGAAAGCAUUAAGUAUACCACCUGGGGAGUACGCCGGCAACGGUG
This 539-nucleotide ribosomal RNA is filed under the name uncultured bacterium. Its description in RNAcentral is "bacterial SSU rRNA". It matches the Rfam family "Bacterial small subunit ribosomal RNA", at positions 356 to 896 of the family's 1533-position model. The record is from RNAcentral.